GGUUCACCGGUUCUGCAUCUAAACCUGCUUCUGCCCGUAUCUAAUCAAGCCAGCAAGAGAGAACCAGGGAGGGAGAUCCCAUGACUUCCCCCUGUCUUAUCUUCUUCUCUGAGUGUGAAGUCCCCUGGGAUAUGCAGUUGUUCUUCCCUUCUGAGAACCAGGUAUCUGGAAAGUUGUCAGUCCAUGGAACUGGAGUAUUAAAUCUUUAAUUACCUGUGCUUUAUGUGAUGUUAUGAUGUGGAAUGUUGAUAUCAAAAUUAUAAAACCAUGACACAGUUUAGUAUGGAGGAUUAAUGAAGCAUAUAUACAACCACUUCCAUAUAAUUUUAUAUAUUCUCCUAAGUGGUAUACUGGCAUUAUAUCGUAGCAUAUAUAUAUAUAUAUAUAUAUUUUUCAAAGCUUUUACACUAUUGUAACAUAACUCACAUAUGCUUCCAUGUUUUCCUCCUGCUAUACUCAGUUCACUUACAUUUGCAAGAAGGUAUGUAUCACACUAAUACAUGUGUGAGCACUGGCAUGAUGGUUAGCGACAAAGCACAAUGGAAACAAAGGACCCCUCAUUGUGCCUAUUUUUUAAUUCAUUACUUAUUUGAAUUAAUUUUAUGGCAACAAUGAUGUUUUUUUUUUCCUUUGCAUUAUAUCAAAGCGCUACAGAAAAAUCUGUGCAUUACUGUGGGGAGGAAAAAAAAAAAUCCCAAUCCCGCCCAACAAUCAAAGACUGUUGUGGCCAUGAUUUUUUGAAACUAUGCAUUUUAAUGAAGCAAUCGUUAUCAAUAAAGAAAGGGACUGCAAUUUUCAAGGAGCGUUUGGACAUCUCAGCCUGUGUUUCGUUUGGAAUUUCUGAAGACUUUCCAUUGACGGAACAUUUACUUUCGAGGAUUGUCUACCAUAUAGCUUGGACAAUUCUUCUAAUAGAGGGCUCCAGGGAACCAUCUUUGGGCUUUAUCUCACUUACUCAGCUUCUACUCAAGACUACUGUGCAUCCUAAGCUUUCCCACAGGAUCUACAUUCUUCGCCUGCAAAACAUGUGCUUUUGCUUCUGCACCAAAAUCAAUCACAGAUCUGGGGCCCCUGAGAGGGAUGGAGGACCAAUACAACAGAAACACACCAGUGAAGGUGCCAAGAGGUCUUCCUAGGAGAUUCUUCAAGAAGUAAAAUUUAAAGAGUGCUGUUUCCCAGGGUAGUCACAAAUUAAAUAGGAAAUGGCCAUCACUAAGGCAGGGUUGUUGUGGUUGCAUUCAACUUGAAAACAUAGCUUGUAUCAUUAAUUUUUUUCUGUGGUAAUUCACCUAAUCUUAGUCAGAUAGUCCCUCUGGUACCAUAUUGGGUCAUUUUAGAUCAAGAAGCAAAGAGAGCUUACACGCUUCUCCCUUGAAAGAGUGAUAUCCUUAAACAGAUAUCCGUAGCAGAGUUACUGUGUUGAUGAAAAAAUAUAGAAAUGGUGAGAUAAGUAGUUAGGUAUAGUGCAGAAAACUGCACAUUGAAUAAUUGGACCCAAAUACAGUUUCAGGCACUGCAUUCCAGGGGGAUGUACAGUGCACACAACAGUGUCCCUGCAGGAGCAUGUCUGGCAGCAAGUUUGCCAUUUCUUGCAACUACGGCUACUAAUGUUGCAUUCAACAAAGGAAACAUCUACUAAAUAGUUAUUACAGACCACUAGUCAGUGAUAUCCUAGUUCAAAACUUUGUGGGAGAUCCCCUUAGGUGGAGAAAUAAAUUCAAAUUGGUGUACUCUGGCCUCCCCUGC
This 1746-nucleotide long non-coding RNA is filed under the name Coturnix japonica (Japanese quail). RNAcentral describes it as "lncRNA (ENSCJPG00005012456.1)". The record is from RNAcentral. Lineage: Eukaryota; Metazoa; Chordata; Aves; Galliformes; Phasianidae.